UUCUCUCCCCUCACAGUGGUGUCUUGUUUCUGCUUCCCCCUUUUAGGGAGAGCCUGGUGCCAUGGGGCCCCCUGGCCGGGAAGGGUCACCAGGAAAAGACGGUGACGCUGGACCCCCAGGGCCACAGGGUCCCCAAGGACUGAGGGGCCCACCGGGUAAGAAUGGAUCACCGGGAUCUCCAGGAGACCCUGGCCCCGCAGGAAAUCCUGUGAGUACUCCCCCUGCUGUAUAGUAGAAUCAAGGCCAGCUUUGAAAUGGGCAUGCCUUUC
RNAcentral lists this long non-coding RNA (269 nucleotides) under Ursus maritimus (polar bear). RNAcentral describes it as "lncRNA (ENSUMAG00000002107.1)". Lineage: Eukaryota; Metazoa; Chordata; Mammalia; Carnivora; Ursidae. The record is from RNAcentral.